UUACGAGGUCAGGACACUGUGAGGAUUGACAGAUUGAAAGCUCUUUCUUGAUUCAGUGGGUGGUGGUGCAUGGCCGUUCUUAGUUGGUGGAGUGAUUUGUCUGGUUAAUUCCGUUAACGAACGAGACUUUAACCUGCUAAAUAGUCACGCGAACCGGUCCGCAAGGGCUCAAAGUUCGCGGCUCGACUUCUUAGAGGGACUAUUCGCACCCGCCAGCGAAUGGAAGUUUGAGGCAAUAACAGGUCUGUGAUGCCCUUAGAUGUUCUCGGCCGCACGCGCGUUACACUGACGGAGUCAACGAGCGUUUUUCCUUGCCCGAUAGGGCCGGGUAACCUCCUGAAACUCCGUCGUGAUGGGGAUAGAUCAUUGCAAUUAUUGAUCUUGAACGAGGAAUUCCUAGUAGGCGCGAGUCAUCAACUCGCGCUGAUUACGUCCCUGCCCUUUGUACACACCGCCCGUCGCUCCUACCGAUUGAACGGUCCGGCGAGAACUCCGGAUGGUC
This 502-nucleotide ribosomal RNA is filed under the name Vermamoeba vermiformis. Its description in RNAcentral is "SSU rRNA". It matches the Rfam family "Eukaryotic small subunit ribosomal RNA", at positions 1215 to 1719 of the family's 1831-position model. The record is from RNAcentral. Lineage: Eukaryota; Tubulinea; Echinamoebida; Vermamoebidae.